CCCUACGGGGGGCAGCAGUGGGGGAUAUUGCACAAUGGGGGGAACCCUGAUGCAGCGACGCCGCGUGGGCGAUGGAGUGCUUCGGCAUGUAAAGCCCUAUCAGCAGGGAAGAAAAUGACGGUACCUGACUAAGAAGCCCUGGCUAAAUACGUGCCAGCAGCCGCGGUAAUACGUAUGGGGCAAGCGUUAUCCGGAUUUACUGGGUGUAAAGGGAGUGUAGGCGGCCUGGCAAGCCUGAUGUGAAAUACCGGGGCCCAACCCCGGGGCUGCAUUGGGAACUGUUUUGCUGGAGUAUGGGAGGGGUA
This 305-nucleotide ribosomal RNA is filed under the name uncultured bacterium. RNAcentral describes it as "bacterial SSU rRNA". It matches the Rfam family "Bacterial small subunit ribosomal RNA", at positions 337 to 659 of the family's 1533-position model. The record is from RNAcentral.